AUAGCGUAAGGAAGAUGUGAAGUAGACAGCAGUUUUACGCUAAUGUGUCAGUACAAAUAACAUGCCCAAACAAAUUUAAUAAUCACAGAGAGAGAAAACGAAAGGCAUUCACUAUUUCUCUGAGACGCUUUAUCGUCAAAUAUUAUGUACAACAUUGUCCCAAUCAGUUGUUGAUGCAGUCAUCGGUGUGUUGGUACUAAAAGUACAUAUGCUUCUGUAAAUGUAGUGAAACUCAUUUGUUGUAUUAAACUGAAAUCUCCAACUACAUCGAUGUUGCAGUACUUCGCCUGUGUGUCCAAGGGUUUAGUUUUCGUGUGAAACGUCGACAAUAGCUAAACAUGUAUGACUUGUACAAGAUUUUGAAUAGGGGGAUAUUUGCAGUUAAUAAAAUAAAAUAUUUCACUUCAGCAGAAGUUGUUGAACAGCUAAAGGAGACCAUACGUAGGGGUGUUCAUGAAAGAUAUUUGCCAGACCCAUUCAAAGUAGGUCAUGGUGGUACUUUAGAUGAUACAGCAACCGGAGUUUUAGUUGUAGGUGUUGGUGAGGGCUGUCAGCUUUUAGCACGAUUUCUACAUGGAAACAAAAAAUAUGUAGUAACAGGAUGUUUGGGUUCUGAAACAACUACAUAUAACGAGACUGGAAUUCAUGUCAAUUCAGCACCUUAUGAUCACAUAACAAAAGAGUCAUUAGAGGAAGCUUUGAUGUCAUUUAGAGGAAAAAUAUUGCAGACACCUCCAAAAUAUUCUGCGCUAAAGAUGGGUGGAAGAAGAAUAGCUGAUCUGACAAGAUCUGGUAUCAAUGUGGAAAUGAAACCACGACACGUUAUGUGCUACAAUGUGAAGUGCACAGAUUUCAACUCGCCAUUUUUUAAACUUGCUUUGUCUUGUGGACCUGGCUUUUAUGUACGAAGUUUGGUUCAUGACUUAGGACUUGGCCUGAAGAGCUACGCAUAUGUAACUGAAUUACGGAGAAUACAGCAUGGACCAUUUACGGAGGAUGACAUGCUUGAACCUGAGAAGUGGACUAUAGAAGAUAUCGUGUGUGCUAUUCAACAAGCAUCUGAGAAGUAUGCAGAAUUCUUACAGAAUUUAAAAAAUGGAACAAUGGCCGGUUAAGAGAGAAAUUCAUAAAAUGCUUUGAUGUAAGGAAGAGGAUGUAACUCCAAGUUGAAGAUGCAGGCAGCAGACUCCAAGUACACCAGUGUGUGUCAUAAUUACGAAAAUACUCAUUAUGUGGUUUCACUUCACUUGAAUAA
RNA transcript from Schistocerca nitens (vagrant locust), 1255 nucleotides. It is a transcript of the gene named pseudouridylate synthase TRUB1-like, with no coding region annotated. The record is from RefSeq and is a predicted model, not a curated record. The transcript has 7 exons. Lineage: Eukaryota; Metazoa; Arthropoda; Insecta; Orthoptera; Acrididae.